ACUGUAGUAAUGGAUCAAGGUCACUGACAUUUCUAGCACCAAAUGACCUGGACCUGUGUGCCCCACUUCUUAUAAUUGGGGUUAAAGCCUCAAUCCCAAUAUUCCAGGUACAGUUAUUAUAACUGUCUUGUCUCUUCCUUCCCUCCAACCUAGAACUGAGGUAGAGUGUUUUUCUAGGAAACUCCCUCUCCAGAAGGACUAAAGUCUUGGCCCUGAUCCUCACGAACUUGCUUAAUAUCCUCUGCACAAAGAUCGACACCACUUGUCACUUGUGAACUGCAGCUUAAAAGUCAACAUCUCUUGGAACCCUGUUGGCCACAGAUUAUUUGCCUCAAAUCUGGUUGGAGAUGGGUCUAUUGUUUGGGCAUCAUAUUGUAUCUGGCCUGCUGAAAUCCCAGCGUUUGUUUGAAAUUCCCAUCUCAUUCUCCUGGUCAGAAGGAGGUCAGGCUUGUGCCAGAAUAAACCUGGGAAGAUGCCACAUGGCUGGGCGUCUGCUAUGGGAAGCUAGAGCACAGAAACAGGAAGUGGUGUCCUGGAAGUCUGCUGAAGAUUCUCCAAUGUGAACUGGUUGCAUUGAAGGCCACAAUUAACAGCCCUUUGCAAUGUGACCUUGCAGAUUCUUCCAUCAAGAAAUUAGCCCUGAGCUAACAUAUGCCGCCAAUCCUCCUCUUUUUGCUGAAGAAGACUGGCCCUGAGCUAACAUCCGUGCCCAUCCUCCUCUACUUUAUAUGUGGGAUGCCUGUCACAGUCUGGCUUGACAAGGAGUGCGUAGGUCUGCACCCGAGAUCUGAACCGGUGAACCACAGGGUAACGAAUCAGACUGCGUGAACCCAACUGCUACGCCACUGGGCCGGCCCCUUGAGUUAUUUUUAUGGAGCAGGAAGCAACCUGUUUUAAAGUCCGAAGAUUCAAAGGAUGCUGAUAAAGUUAUGGAUAAUUAAAUCACAAUAGGUUAAUGAAGAUUAACGAAAAUGUUUAGAUGUCUGAGGUCUAUUCUUAACCUUUGAGGAUGACAUUGAACAGCAGCCACUUCCCCUCUGGAGCAAAGCUGCAAGUUGCCUUCCCAGCAUCCACCCUCCUGCUUUCCUUUUUUGUUUCCCAUUUUGUUUAGGUUGUCAUGCUUCAUCUAAACAAAAGUACUACACUUCCUAGCAUCCCUGGCAGCCAGGGGUGGCCAAUGAGAUGAAAUUAGAAUUUACUAGGUAAAGCUUCUAAGAAGGGUCUUUUUUCUUUUUUUUGAUUGAGGAAGAUUAUCCGUGAGCUGACAUCUGUGCCAAUCCUUCUCCACUUUAUAUGUGGGUCGCCACAGCAUGACUGAUGAGUGCUGUAGGUCUGCGCCAGGGAUCCAAACCCACAAACCUGGGACGCUGAUGUGGAGCAUGCCAAACUUAACCACCACACCAUGGGGCUGGCCCAGAAGGGUCUUUUAAGGAGGGACAGACUCAGCUUGCACAUGCCUUUUAUCCUUCAGUGUUCAAUCUUUCCUUUCUCCAGAAAACAAACUCAAUGGUGGAUGUGAAGCAGUCAUUUUAUGGCAAUGAGGGAUCAUGCAAACAAAAGCAAACAUGGUGAUGCUGAAGUGGAGGGCUAGAAUGAGCCUGGCUCCCCAGUGGCAUCGUAGAGUUGCCAGAUCAGCCCCAGAUUUCCUACUGGGAACCUCUUGUUAUAUAUGCAAAAUAUGCACAAAUUUGUUUAAGCCACUGUUACAUUUUUGGGGGUUGAGGGGUAGUUUCUUUUAUUCAUAGCUGAAAACAUCCCCUAUCAAAGUAGUUUCUAGAAUGCCUGGGGGACCCUUGGUGGUGACUUUUGUAUUUUCAGGUGUUUAGGAGUUCCCCACAUUACAAACCCUGCUUUACUGACAAAUAAAAUCUGUGGCUCUGUUUCUGCCCCCAAAUUCAGUCUUGUCACCCCUUAUAGACCUUUUCCCCCAUCAAUUUCACGUUCCCUAUUCUUCAUUAACUUGCAUCCACAGGUGUCAGCUCAAUGGGAGAGGGGUAGCCAAACCUCUUCUUGUAAAGGGUAGAAAAGCCUUUCCUCCUAAGGAAUGCCCAGCAUAGCGAUGG
Equus caballus (horse) is the source of this 2063-nucleotide long non-coding RNA. Lineage: Eukaryota; Metazoa; Chordata; Mammalia; Perissodactyla; Equidae. The record is from Ensembl.